This 447-nucleotide ribosomal RNA is filed under the name uncultured bacterium. RNAcentral's name for it is "partial 16S ribosomal RNA". It matches the Rfam family "Bacterial small subunit ribosomal RNA", at positions 29 to 523 of the family's 1533-position model. The record is from RNAcentral.
AACGAACGCUGGCGGCAGGCUUAACACAUGCAAGUCGAACGCCCCGCAAGGGGAGUGGCAGACGGGUGAGUAACGCGUGGGAAUCUACCCAUCUCUGCGGAAUAGCUCUGGGAAGCUGGAAUUAAUACCGCAUACGCCCUACGGGGGAAAGAUUUAUCGGGGAUGGAUGAGCCCGCGUUGGAUUAGCUAGUUGGUGGGGUAAAGGCCUACCAAGGCGACGAUCCAUAGCUGGUCUGAGAGGAUGAUCAGCCACAUUGGGACUGAGACACGGCCCAAACUCCUACGGGAGGCAGCAGUGGGGAAUAUUGGACAAUGGGCGCAAGCCUGAUCCAGCCAUGCCGCGUGAGCGAUGAAGGCCUUAGGGUUGUAAAGCUCUUUCACCGAUGAAGAUAAUGACGGUAGUCGGAGAAGAAGCCCCGGCUAACUUCGUGCCAGCCGCCGCAGUAA